AACGAACGCUGGCGGCAUGCCUAACACAUGCAAGUCGAACGAGACCUUCGGGUCUAGUGGCGCACGGGUGCGUAACGCGUGGGAACCUGCCCUUAGGUUCGGAAGAACUCCCCGAAAGGGGUGCGAAUACCGGAGAAUGUCUUCGGACCAAAGAUUUAUCGCCUUUGGAUGGGCCCGCGUUGGAUUAGCUAGUUGGUAGGGUAAAAGCCUACCAAGGCGACGAUCCAUAGCUGGUCUGAGAGGAUGAUCAGCCACACUGGGACUGAGACACGGCCCAGACUCCUACGGGAGGCAGCAGUGGGGAAUAUUGGACAAUGGGCGAAAGCCUGAUCCAGCAAUGCCGCGUGAGUGAUGAAGGCCUUAGGGUUGUAAAGCUCUUUUACCCGGGAUGAUAAUGACAGUACCGGGAGAAUAAGCUCCGGCUAACUCCGUG
RNAcentral lists this ribosomal RNA (433 nucleotides) under uncultured bacterium. RNAcentral's name for it is "partial 16S ribosomal RNA". It matches the Rfam family "Bacterial small subunit ribosomal RNA", at positions 29 to 507 of the family's 1533-position model. The record is from RNAcentral.